Long non-coding RNA from Erigeron canadensis, 2809 nucleotides. RefSeq lists it as uncharacterized. The record is from RefSeq and is a predicted model, not a curated record. NCBI's taxonomy places the organism in Eukaryota, Viridiplantae, Streptophyta, Magnoliopsida, Asterales, Asteraceae. The transcript has 10 exons.
AAGUUGGGUAACCCAAACACCCCAUCCAAUCAUCAAAAUACUGCAUUAAUUCAUCACAUAUGCGUAUACAUUAUUUCCCUCCUCUCCUCCGCCGGUUCCCUGCCACUCUCCAUACAUCACAACCGCCUUUCUACGCUGAAAUCGAUGAUCACCCAAUUCAAGAUUUUUUAUAUCGGUUUUAUAUAGUGAAUUUGAAUCAGUGCUCUAUCUAAUACGUUCCUUCUAGGAUUGAAUUGCAGAUUCAAGGUGAAAAACUCUUGGUUUCUUGACUAAUAUUUCAUUUCUGUAUUAUUAUUCAACGAGAAAGCUACCGCAAACGGUAUCACCUAUCAAUCUAUACGUUUUUCAUUAAUUGAUCUUUUUUCCCAUUAUGUUUAAGCUUUAUAUCUCCCUUUUAAAAACUAAUCCAGUGGAACAAUUGGGGUGAUAUCUGUUGAUGCUGGCAUAAUAUGGAUAGGUAUGCCAAUUGCUAAAUACCUUAAUGGAAUUUGGGCUAUCUACUUUUAAGAAAAUAACAUGUUUUCUUGGUCAGUCAUAUUAUGCUUAGUUUUAGAUGAUAAGAAAUUGAACUUUCGAAUGAUAAAAACAAAAUUACAGGAGACAAAGCUAUGGCUAUUAUUAUUUUCAGUUUUGUUUGAAUUAUAAUUUGUUGUUUCCAGUUAUUGUUUUUAUUCUAUGAUUUCAUGUUUGGGCUUUCAUUUGAUCUAAAAUGUAGUGGCUAAAGCUCUUUGAUAUGUGCCUGGCUUAUUGUGCCGUUGUUAAAUGAGGCUUGAUUGGGUUAAAAAACUGUAGCUUUUGAUGUGACGUUGUUUGUGUUGGUGGUCUUCAUUUACGGAAAGACGCCAGUUUGGCAUGACAAGGGGAUUGGAGAUAUCUGCAAUGAAGUUCAUGACAGUCGUAGUUGUAGCAUAAUGAAGAAACUCAAAACGGAGAAUAGGAUGCCUUAAAGAUUUGAUUGGUUAUGUGAUUAGUGUUGGGGAUCCUAAAAUCAAAUCUAAUGUGGGAGACAAGUCGGGGUAACGCUAUGGGGUACUGUUGGAGAAGACAUGCUGAAAAAAGGAAGCACAUCCAAGAUCUUAUUCAUGCAUCCUGACUCCAAUGCGUGUUAAAAUAUAUCGUGGUUUAAGCUUCAGUUGGAGGUAAGGGAUGACACGACUUCAGUUGUCGUUACACUGUUUAAUGAGCUUGCCAAAAAAUUACUGAGCAGGACAGCUAAAUCUUUGAUUGAAGAAGAGGAGCAGACUGAUUGGGAUGGUGAUGUCCUUCCACCAGUUAUUCGCCGACUGGUUGGCACUAAACAUGUGUUUGAAAUAAAGGGCCACUCAUACUAUCAAGCUGGGGGGUAUGAGGGUUUUAAUUGUUUUCAAGUAUUUUCGGCUGAACCUAGUGUCCCGGCCGGCGCCAUUACUGGGAGCAAACCAGCAAGCAUAGCUUCCGUUGGAGGGUCAUUGUCUAUGCCAACAAAAGAACCUCAGUCGAUACCCACACCAUCAAAGGAGCGAGAACCAACCAAAAUGAAAUUGAUCCUUAAAGAACAAACCACUGAAGAUUUGGUCAUAGCUAACUCGGGCGGGGACCUGGAGGCUGACCAAAGCAAAGGGAAAAAAAGUGUUGUUGCUAAUGCUUCCUUGGAAGUGGCUAAUGCCGACAGUGAAGCUGACUGUGUUGCCUUAGAUGAUGAUGUGACUAUCAGAGGUAAGGUUUGUGGAUAUAGUUAGUGGAGAAAGAGGUGUCAAUCUAUGGGGUCAAGCUACACAUAAGCCCAAGUCGGGUUUGUGUAGGAAAAUCAAUCCGUUGUUUUGACCCGUACUAAUAAGUGGCCCUGUUCAACGUAUAACCCAUAUUGCCUGACCCGUCAAUCUUGCUACACCUGUUUUAUAUACCACAUAUAUAGGACGAGAAAAGGCUUGCAUACUUGAAUGAGCCAGUCAUCUUGCAAAGGUAUAUUGUACUAUGCCUCCUCUACUACAUAUUAUUCUUAAAGUGAUUGAGACCUUCGAUUUUAAGUUUUAAGAUGUGUUUGACAGCCACAUAUCUUUCUUUGUAUUAUGACAUUUCAGGAUAUUGAUAAUAUUAUAUGAGACAGAAUACCAGGGAAAAUGGUGUACCAUCAAGAGAAAAAUGUACUCUUGCUUCCUUCUUGCUCGGAAUUUACUCGGCCUCCUGUUAUGCAUUUUUUUUAUAUGACUACAAUAAAAGGCACAUCCACAUUAUGUUUUUAAGUAGAGGUGGCAAUCUGACCGUGCGCGAGUCAGUUUAGUUCAUUUUAAUUUUAUAUUAGACAACAAUGUGAAAAAGGUCACACAUACUACCAGGCCGGUGAAUAUGAGGCCUUUAGCUGUUCUCAAGUGAUAUCCCAUGUCAUGAAUAUCCCUGCUGGGACAAUUAGUAGCAACCAGCAGCAUAGUGUUGCCUUUGCUGGUGGAUCAUCGACAUCACAGCCUGACCCGGUACCAACUCCAAAAAAGAACGAGCCAAAAAACGAAAAUUGUGAGUAUUGUUCAGCUCAACUAUUGGUUCAUCAAGGAGCUCAUCAACCCAACGCUCAACCUCCAUUGUGUACCAAUAUCUUAGUGAAGCAACCCGAUUCCAAAGAUCCCGUCCAAAUUAAUCCUCAUUAUCCAUCACUUACGAUAUCAAACAAGUCAACAAGCCCGGCCGUGCAUCGCACGGGCCUUCACUCUAGUUUGAUUUAUUUUUUCAUCCUUGGUAACAGGGAUCUUAGAUUGACUAUUUUAAGGAUCAAUAACAUUGAUUUACAAUGGUUUAACAUAAUAUAACACGGUAACGAAGUAAAUUAUUUUUGUAA